RNAcentral lists this long non-coding RNA (1146 nucleotides) under Monodelphis domestica (gray short-tailed opossum). RNAcentral describes it as "lncRNA (ENSMODG00000043403.1)". Lineage: Eukaryota; Metazoa; Chordata; Mammalia; Didelphimorphia; Didelphidae. The record is from RNAcentral.
CUCUUCCCUCCACUCAUGCUCUAAUCUCCAACCCCCAUGCUCCAACAGCCAAUAAUCCUAACAUUGAAAAUGGAGCAAGUAGCCUAGAAACAGUAACACCAGAUAGUUUAGACAGAAGUUUAUUUCCAUUGAGGGAAGUACCCACCUUUAAUAAAGAAGGGAACUUGGUGUCUGUAAGACACUAUACACCUUUUAAACCUGAUGAUUUAGAAAAAUUCAAGCACAAUGUUCAAUUAUUUGAGGCAGAACCAAUGUUGGUUAUAGAAAAAUUAGAAAAUAUAUUCAGAAACUUUGACCCUUCUUGGUUGGAUGUGGAGAAUUUGUUAGAUACAUUUCUGACAAAGAGAGAGAAAAAUAAUGUCAUCUCUCUAGCUAAUAAGAAAAGUGGUAGAGGAGCUCAUCACUGGCCAACUGUAGAUCCACACUGGAACCCUAAUAUUGUACAGGAUCACACAAAACUAGCCCUGGCCAGAGAAGCAUUAUUAAAAGCCAUGAGAGACUGCUCUGAUAGCCCUGAUGCAUGGGAAAAAUUUGAACAAUCCCGACAGGAAAUUAAUGAGACCCCCUCCCACUUUAUGGACAGACUUAUUGAUGUAGGAAGUACAUAUAUGGACCUUGAUUUGUCCAGAGAAAAAGACAUUAAACAUAUACGCAGACAAUUCGUUAGGAAUUGUUGUUCAGCAGUAAAAGACUACUUUGAAACCAACUGUCCCAACUGGGAGUCUAUGGACCUCGAAGAACUGAGGAAAGUAGCAACAUAUGCCUAUAAGAAUCGUACAAAAAAACCUGAAACACACAAUAAAUCAGUAUCAGACUUAGAAAAAGAAAUUGAAAUUUUAAAGGAACAAUUGAAAAGUAAGGGAGAGACCAUGGCCCCUUUGCAGGAAUCCACAGAUAGAUCAUUAACAAACCCCUUAAUAUGCACCUUCUGUGGGAAGAGAGGCCAUGCAAUGAUAGUCUGUAGGAGCAGGCUACGGGAAACAAGAAAUAAUAACACCUUUAGGAAUAAUAAAUAUAGGAACCACAAUGCCAAUCAAAAUGACGGUGCUCAAAAUACAGAAAAUGAUACUACCCAAAAAAAUGCCCAACAACAAUAUAUAAGAAAUGGAGCUCGACCACGCUACACUCAGGGUGAACAACCCCAAC